Molecule: ribosomal RNA, 459 nt
Filed under: uncultured bacterium
Lineage: Bacteria
Description: partial 16S ribosomal RNA
Rfam family: Bacterial small subunit ribosomal RNA
Source: RNAcentral
CCUACGGGAGGCAGCAGUGAGGAAUAUUGGUCAAUGGGCGCGAGCCUGAACCAGCCAAGUCGCGUGAGGGAAGACGGUCCUAUGGAUUGUAAACCUCUUUUGUCGGGGAGCAAAAGACGCCACGCGUGGCGUUCCGAGAGUACCCGAAGAAAAAGCAUCGGCUAACUCCGUGCCAGCAGCCGCGGUAAUACGGAGGAUGCGAGCGUUAUCCGGAUUUAUUGGGUUAAAGGGGUGCGCAGGCGGAAGAUCGAGUGAGCGGUAAAAUGAAGAGGCUAAACCUUGUAGAGCCGUUGAUACUGGUUUUCGUGAGUGAGUGAGAGGUAUGCGGAAUGCGUGGUGUAGCGGGGAAAUGCAUAGAUAUCACGCAGAACUCCGAUUGCGAAGGCAGCAUACCGGCGCUCAACUGACGCUCAUGCACGAAAGUGUGGGUAUCGAACAGGAUUAGAUACCCCGGUAGUC